RNAcentral lists this ribosomal RNA (269 nucleotides) under uncultured prokaryote. Its description in RNAcentral is "partial 16S ribosomal RNA". It matches the Rfam family "Bacterial small subunit ribosomal RNA", at positions 524 to 792 of the family's 1533-position model. The record is from RNAcentral.
UACGGAGGAUCCGAGCGUUAUCAGGAUUUAUUGGGUUUAAAGGGUGCGCAGGCGGGGGAUUAAGUCGGCGGUGAAAUUUUGCAGCUCAACUGUAAAAGUGCCUUCGAAACUGGUUUCCUUGAGUGUAGAUGAAGUAGGCGGAAUUUGUGGUGUAGCGGUGAAAUGCAUAGAUAUCACGAGGAACUCCGAUUGCGCAGGCAGCUUACUAAACUACUACUGACGCUCAGGCACGAAGGCGUGGGGAUCAAACAGGAUUAGAUACCCGUGUA